Non-coding RNA from Rhamnusium bicolor, 75 nucleotides. The record is from the annotation of a GenBank genome assembly. NCBI's taxonomy places the organism in Eukaryota, Metazoa, Arthropoda, Insecta, Coleoptera, Cerambycidae.
GGCUUUGUAGUCGCGUGGUAAGGAUACUUGUCUCACACCCUGGUGUCCCGGGUUCAAUCCCCGGUCGAGGAGCUA